AUUGAACGCUGGCGGCAUGCCUUACACAUGCAAGUCGAACGGCAGCGCGGGAGCAAUCCUGGCGGCGAGUGGCGAACGGGUGAGUAAUAUAUCGGAACGUGCCCAGUAGUGGGGGAUAGCCCGGCGAAAGCCGGAUUAAUACCGCAUGAGACCUGAGGGUGAAAGCGGGGGAUCGCAAGACCUCGCGCUACUGGAGCGGCCGAUAUCAGAUUAGCUAGUUGGUGGGGUAAAGGCCUACCAAGGCAACGAUCUGUAGUUGGUCUGAGAGGACGACCAGCCACACUGGGACUGAGACACGGCCCAGACUCCUACGGGAGGCAGCAGUGGGGAAUUUUGGACAAUGGGCGCAAGCCUGAUCCAGCAAUGCCGCGUGCAGGAAGAA
RNAcentral lists this ribosomal RNA (382 nucleotides) under uncultured bacterium. RNAcentral describes it as "bacterial SSU rRNA". It matches the Rfam family "Bacterial small subunit ribosomal RNA", at positions 29 to 412 of the family's 1533-position model. The record is from RNAcentral.